GUAAACACUGUGACGAAGAGAGUAGGUUUAUCAUUCCAUUUAAAGAGAAUCCCCAUAUGGUGAGAGGGGACAUUGGAUAUAGGCUGAAAAUGGCUUCCGAGUGGCGCACCGAACUUUAACAUAUGAUGGGAAAGCAAGGCUGCGACGGGACUCCGCCUGUUACAGCGGAAAAGUAUACCAGGGCUUUAACUGCCUGUGGGUGUACUUAAUGAGGUCUGCUUCGUGAGAAACAGAUAAAUUGAAGUGGUAACACGGGACGAUUUCCCGUCUUCUCU
Molecule: non-coding RNA, 275 nt
Filed under: Anaerobium acetethylicum
Lineage: Bacteria; Bacillati; Bacillota; Clostridia; Lachnospirales; Lachnospiraceae
Description: T-box sequence
Rfam family: T-box leader
About the family: Uncharged tRNA acts as the effector for transcription antitermination of genes in the T-box leader family. T-boxes are found upstream of many aminoacyl-tRNA synthetase genes and some amino acid biosynthetic genes usually in Gram-positive bacteria.
Source: RNAcentral